Aegilops tauschii subsp. strangulata is the source of this 1735-nucleotide long non-coding RNA. RefSeq lists it as uncharacterized. Lineage: Eukaryota; Viridiplantae; Streptophyta; Magnoliopsida; Poales; Poaceae. The record is from RefSeq and is a predicted model, not a curated record.
UCCUGAGUAUCCCAUUCUACCCCUGCCGACCGACACGUUCCCCUCUCUCUCGCCCGACGCCACCCACCACUCGUUCCCCACCACUCGUCUCUCUCUCGCGCGCGACGCCGUCCUCUCCCCGUCGAUGUGCCCUCUCGCCGGCAUCUUGCUCCGCACCGUCGCCUAGCUCACCGCUCCCCAUGCAUCGCCGCCUAGCUCACCGCUCCCAACGCGUCACCCUCUCAAACUCCGGCAAUGCACUGCUGGGCGAGGAGUAGAUGCAGAAAGCUGCCAUUUUUAUGCGCCGGCAACGCGCUGGCGCUAGAUCUGAGUGCGUUGGCGCUCGAUCUGCUUCGUGGAGAGGCAUGAAGGAGGCGCUGAAGCGGAGCCGGCGCGGGCGUGAAGACGGCGGCAGUAGGAGCUGGAGCCCGAGCAGGUGGAGGUGGAGCCGCAUCUGGACCUUGUACUGUAUCAAGAUGGAUGGAGUAGAGAGCCUAGAGUAGGAAAGAGCCUUGGACCGUAGCCAUGGACAGCGCAUGACAGAGCCAUGGACAGUGCAACAUCACAAACUUCAUUCCUGUAGAGCCUGAUGCAGCGCAGCAUCACAACCUUGAUGGAAGGAGGCCAGGCCAUGAAGAGAAAAGCUCCUGCCCAUAUCGAUUCAAGAGGAGAGGAGGGCCAUGGAGGGAGAAGCCUGCUGCUGCAAUACCUACCUUGUCGUCCUCAUGGUGGGGUGUAGUUGAGGUCUGGGAGAUCCAUGUUCUCCAGGCAACUGAAAAGAACUUUCAAGAUUGUUUUAAAGAAGGGCUAUUGAAAAAAGAUGUGUGAGAGUAUUAGUGACUCUCAUGUGGGCAUGCUGCACUUUUCAGGUAGCAGAUGCAGAGGGAGUAAUGGGCGAGGAGAUGAACCUAGGCGAGCAAAAUUGAGAACUCUAGCUAAAGCAGCUCCUGCCCAGCGGCGAGGACUUCAGCGGCAGCAACACCUGUGCGUGGGGAGGAACAGCCCCUGGGCGCGCGCAGGCAGCAGCUCGCCUCCACCAGCGGGCGGCAGCAGAGCACCAGCUCGCCUCCACCAGUGGCCGGCAGUAGAGCAGCAGCUCGUCUCCACCAGCGGGCGGCAGCAGAGCACCACCUGGGCGCGCGCGGGCCAGGAGGAGCCCCUGGCGUGGGAGAGGAGGAGCCCGGGGGUGAAGAUGGAGGUGGAGGGCGGGGGUGGAGGUGGAGGUGGAGGGUGGGUGGCGGAGCCGCGGAGGCGGAGGUGGAGCGCCGGGGCGGAGGCAGAGGUGGAAGACGCUGAGGAAGAAGACGGACUGAUUCAAAGUUUGAACUGGGGGCAUAAAGGUCCAUUUGCCCAUUUUCACCUGGUCGGAACAUAUUCCCCAGCGACAUACAUUUCGGAACAGAGGGAGUAUUUAAGAAGAUUCUCCCACCCUCAAUCACUCCUUCCUCUUGAAUGAGAGAAAAAAAAUAUUCUUUCUUUUUCUCCCAUUGGCUUUAGCAUGAUAAUAUCUGGCAUUGCUAUCUCCAUCUUUAAUUUCCUUAUAUUUUUAUACCUUUGAAGCCAUUUCAGUUCCUCUUAUUUAAGGAGUCUGUUCAGCUGAGCUAUAAGCUCUUUUUGUUCAUUUCUAUCAUGAGCUGAAAGUCCAAAUAUCUCAACAUUUUUUGUCAUUGACAUCUAACUUUGAAAGAAUAGUUUUCUUUAGUUUUCUAUACCAAUAUACCAUGCAUCUGAAUUUAAGAUACAACCUCUUACUUUU